GUGACUAAUACCGCAUAAUAUUCUUGGAAGGCAUCUUCCGAGAAGGAAAGGAAAUAUUCGGUAAAAGAUGGGCCCGCAUCUGAUUAGCUAGUUGGUGAGAUAACAGCCCACCAAGGCGACGAUCAGUAGCCGACCUGAGAGGGUGACCGGCCACAUUGGGACUGAGACACGGCCCAAACUCCUACGGGAGGCAGCAGUGGGGAAUAUUGCACAAUGGGGGGAACCCUGAUGCAGCAACGCCGCGUGAAGGAAGACGGUUUUCGGAUUGUAAACUUCUAUCAAUAGGGAAGAAAGAAAUGACGGUACCUAAAUAAGAAGCCCCGGCUAACUACGUGCCAGCAGCCGCGGUAAUACGUAGGGGGCAAGCGUUAUCCGGAAUUACUGGGUGUAAAGGGAGAGUAGGCGGCAAGGUAAGCGAUAUGUGAAAGCCUUGGGCUUAACCUGAGGAUUGCAUAACGAACUAUCUAGCUAGAGUACAGGAGAGGAAAGCGGAAUUCCUAGUGUAGCGGUGAAAUGCGUAGAUAUUAGGAAGAACACCAGUGGCGAAGGCGGCUUUCUGGACUGAAACUGACGCUGAGGCUCGAAAGCGUGGGGAGCGAACAGGAUUAGAUACCCUGGUAGUCCACGCUGUAAACGA
Molecule: ribosomal RNA, 637 nt
Filed under: uncultured bacterium
Lineage: Bacteria
Description: bacterial SSU rRNA
Rfam family: Bacterial small subunit ribosomal RNA
Source: RNAcentral